RNAcentral lists this ribosomal RNA (893 nucleotides) under Amanita chiui. RNAcentral's name for it is "eukaryotic LSU rRNA". It matches the Rfam family "Eukaryotic large subunit ribosomal RNA", at positions 77 to 933 of the family's 3401-position model. Lineage: Eukaryota; Fungi; Basidiomycota; Agaricomycetes; Agaricales; Amanitaceae. The record is from RNAcentral.
CCCCUAGUAACUGCGAGUGAAGCGGGAAAAGCUCAAAUUUGAAAUCUGGCAGUCUUUUUUUUCUUCUUUGGCUGUCCGAGUUGUAAUCUAGAGAAGUGCUUACCUGCACUGGACCAUGUAUAAGUCUCCUGGAAUGGAGCCUCACAGAGGGUGAGAAUCCCGUCUUUGACAUGGACUGCCAGUGUGUUGUGGUGUGCUCUCAAAGAGUCGAGUUGUUUGGGAAUGCAGCUCUAAAUGGGUGGUAAACUCCAUCUAAAGCUAAAUAUUGGCGAGAGACCGAUAGUGAACAAGUACCGUGAGGGAAAGAUGAAAAGGACUUUGGAAAGAGAGUUAAACAGUAUGUGAAAUUGUUGAAAGGGAAACGCUUGAAGUCAGUUAUGUCGUCUAGGGAUCAACCCGGCUAUUUUUUGCUGGGUGAAUUUCCUAGCCUGACAGGCCAACAUCAGUCUUGACUGCUGGAAAAGAGCAGAGGGAAUGUGGCACCUUUGGGUGUGUUAUAGCCCUCUGUCAUGUGUGGCAGUUGGGACUGAGGGAUGCAGCAUGCCGUGAGGCUGGGUUUCUGACCACGUUCAUGCUUAGGAUGUUGGCUUUUAAUGGCUUCAAUCGACCCGUCUUGAAACACGGACCAAGGAGUCCAACAUGCCUGCGAGUGUUUGGGUGGGGAAAACCCUUUUGCACAAUGAAAGUGAAAGUUGAGAUCCUUGUCAUGGGGAGCAUCGACGCCCGGACCUGAGCUUUUAGUGACGGAUCCGCGGUAGAGCAUGCAUGUUGGGACCCGAAAGAUGGUGAACUAUGCCUGAAUAGGGCAAAGCCAGAGGAAACUCUGGUGGAGGCUCGUAGCGAUUCUGACGUGCAAAUCGAUCGUCAAAUUUGGGUAUAGGGGCGAAAGACUA